RNAcentral lists this ribosomal RNA (227 nucleotides) under uncultured bacterium. RNAcentral describes it as "partial 16S ribosomal RNA". It matches the Rfam family "Bacterial small subunit ribosomal RNA", at positions 524 to 748 of the family's 1533-position model. The record is from RNAcentral.
UACGUAGGGUGCAAGCGUUGUCCGGAAUUAUUGGGCGUAAAGGGCUCGUAGGCGGUCCGUCACGUCGGGAGUGAAAUCCUGGGGACUUAACCCCAGAACUGCUUCCGAUACGGGCAGACUAGAGAUAGGUAGGGGAGAAUGGAAUCCUGGUGUAGCGGUGGAAUGCGCAGAUAUCAGGGGGAACACCGAGUGGCGAAGGCGGUUCUCUGGGCCUUACCUGACGCGUG